AAACCAUGAUGGGGAUAUUGGUUUGUGUAACUCCUAAACCUCUCCCAAGCUUCCCCAAAGCUUCCCCAAAGCUUCCCCAAAGCUUCCCCAAAGCUUUCAUUGUUCUGCUGGGUAAAGCUUGAUAUCUGGUUUCUCAGCUU
This 140-nucleotide small nucleolar RNA is filed under the name Eutrema salsugineum. Its description in RNAcentral is "Plant small nucleolar RNA R71". It matches the Rfam family "Plant small nucleolar RNA R71". From Rfam's summary of the family: R71 is a member of the C/D box family of snoRNAs containing the C (UGAUGA) and D (CUGA) box motifs. Multiple nearly identical copies of this snoRNA have been identified in Arabidopsis, and it is thought to function as a 2'-O-ribose methylation guide for 18S ribosomal RNA. Lineage: Eukaryota; Viridiplantae; Streptophyta; Magnoliopsida; Brassicales; Brassicaceae. The record is from Rfam by way of RNAcentral.